UCAUUCAAAGUCUCAUGCCGUGGAUGUAACAUGGUGUGUGUUACAGAUCUGAUGGGGCUGUUUGACAAGCACAGGUUCAGGAAGCUGCUCCUGUUCAUCCUGAACUUUGAGGAGGGCGACCUGCGUACCCACCAGGACAUGGACCCCAACAGGACCAGCAUGAGAAAGUUGUUCCGCCGGUUCCACCUGGGACCAGACAUAGAAUUUCCUGGCCAUGUCUUGGCCCUGUACCGCAGAGGCGAGUCAGUACAAAUGUUAAACAGACAGAAAAACAGACAGGAACGCACACACACACAUAUUCUCUAAAGUAUAUGCCUCAACAGAAUAUAAAUUGAAGCCAAGAUACAAACUUUUCGAAUCUCCAUGGUCGUGUGCCUGCCUUCACAGCUACUUGGACCAGCCGUGCAUCCAGACCAUAAGACUGCUCAAGCUGUAUUCUGAGUUUAUGGCUCGCUAAAACUGCAGUCCCUACCUCUUUCCAUUGUGUGGGCUAGGGUAACUACCCAAGGGCUUUGCCAGGUAAUACACACACACACAUGCAGGCGCUCAAGAAUGCAUUAAUACAUUAACAUCAAGUGUUUUUAUGAUGGUGUUUUGUAUGUCCCCAAAGUAACCUCACUAUUCCUGUAUGUCUCAUGUUAAGUGCAUGGAGGGACCUACAUGUUAAACAGAAAGGUGGAAGAGAUUGUGAUGGACAAGGGCAAAGGGGUAGCAGUGAAAUCUGAAGGAGCAGUGAGUGGUUGGUGAGGUAGAGAGUGGAUAAGAGAGAAAGAGUGUUGAAGAGGGAAUUCAUGGAUGAAUGAAGUGAGAAAUGCUAGUGCAUGAAUUAUAGGAAAGUGGGCUGAAUGUCAGGAGGGUAAAUUAGUAGAAGUAGAACCUAAUAUUUCUCUCUAUCAAGCUGUUUUGCUGUAAACAGCUGAUCUAGGCUGGGUUUCUGUACAGCACUUUGAGAUAUCAGCUGAUGUAAGAAGGGCUAUAUAAAUACAUUUGAUCUCUCACCCCAGCUACGUGCUGGGUGAAGAAGGUGGGCCAGGUUACACAGGUCAUCUGUUCACUGAAUCAUCCAAUCAAAUACACCCAUGAUGCCAACUCCUGCCAAAUCAUCAUCCCUCAAGCAAAGUCCACAGGAAAUCAGACAUCUAUGUAUGGUGUACUACGCUCACAACAUGGCGUCAUCGGGGAUGUAUAUCGCCAAGGUGAGCACCACUGUAGAGACCAGUAAACCCAGAGAAGUAAGUGCAGCCUGGGAUGGAACUGCUGGAGCCCAUUCGUCAGAGAUGUGUUUCUGUCAGCAACAUGAUGGUCCCUAUUGAUGAUGGAAGGAAAAUGCAGGUAAGGGGCUACCUUCAAUAUAUUGUAUUGUCCUUAACCCCACACCUAGUGACCUAGCCAAGAGGUUCAGAUCUUUUGGUGUUCGAGUCAGGUUUCAGGUCCUGGUCGGGGAUACUCCCUUAAUUCGAUACACGUUAAGGACUUGGAAUAGAGAAGCAUGAGAACACGCUCUCCUGAAAGAAAGGGGGUAGUGUAUCGACCUUAAGCCAACACCUAGCAACCUUGUUGAGAGGUGUGGAUCUCUUGGUGUCACUGCUAAGGGGUUGACAGACAACCAUUGUCUACAGACAAUCAUGGACUACAAAGGGAAAACCAGCCACUUUGUGGACACCGACAUCUUGCUUCCGGACAAGCUAAACACGUUCUUCGCUCGCUAUGAGGACAACACAGUACCACCAAUGCGGCCCGCUACCAACGACUGUGGGCUCUCCUUCUCCGUGGCUGACAUUUAAGCGUGUUAACCCUCGCAAGGCUGCCGCCCAGACGGCAUCCCUAGCUGCGUCCUCAGAGCGUCCGCAGAGCAGCUGGCUGGAGUGUUUACGGACAUAUUCAAUCUCUCACUAUACCAGGCUGAUGUUCCCACUCGCUUUAAGAUGUCCACCAUUGUUCCUGUACGUAAGAAAGCAAAGGUAACUGAACUAAAUAACUAUCGCCCAG
Molecule: long non-coding RNA, 1989 nt
Organism: Oncorhynchus gorbuscha (pink salmon)
Lineage: Eukaryota; Metazoa; Chordata; Actinopteri; Salmoniformes; Salmonidae
Exons: 3
Source: RefSeq, a predicted model, not a curated record